AUUGAACGCUGGCGGAAUGCUUAACACAUGCAAGUCGAACGGCAGCACGGGGGCAGCCCUGGCGGCGGGGGGCGGACGGGUGGGUGAUACAGCGGAACGUGCGCGGCCGUGGGGGCUAGCGUAGCGACGGAGACGCUCAUACCGCAUACGAUCAGAGGAUGAAAGCGGGGGACCAUGGGGCCUCGCGCGAUCGGAGCGGCCGAUGACCGAUUAGGGAGUUGGUGGGGUAAAGGCCUACCAAGCCGACGAUCUGUAGCUGGUCUGAGAGGACGAGCAGCCACACUGGAACUGAGACACGGCCCAGACUCCUACGGGAGGCAGCAGUGGGGAAUUUUGGACAAUGGGCGCAAGCCUGAUCCAGCCAUACCGCGUGCAGGACGAAGGCCUUCGGGUUGUAAACUGCUUUUGUACGGAACGAAAAGGCUCUGGCUAAUACCUGGGGCUCAUGACGGUACCGAAAGAAUAAGCACCGGCUAACUACGUG
This 484-nucleotide ribosomal RNA is filed under the name uncultured bacterium. RNAcentral describes it as "partial 16S ribosomal RNA". It matches the Rfam family "Bacterial small subunit ribosomal RNA", at positions 29 to 507 of the family's 1533-position model. The record is from RNAcentral.